AGGCAAAUCUACCAUGAAUUUUUCGCUGGGUCUUGGCUUAAGCUAGGCAAGAAACUUGAAUGAUUUUGGGAUUCCUGCGCUCAAAUUUGUGGAAAAGAGAAAUACCGGAAACAAGCUUGAAAUUGAAACCGAUCGGUUUCAAAAAUCUCCGAUUUUUGUUCUUUUUGUUGUUGAUCUCUUUUCAGAUUCAUCUUCUUGUUGCGGUUCCUCAAGAUUCCGUUGUUGUUUUCUGUUUUCGAAUCGAAUUUUUGUUAGAUU
Gossypium arboreum is the source of this 258-nucleotide long non-coding RNA. RefSeq lists it as uncharacterized. The record is from RefSeq and is a predicted model, not a curated record. The transcript has 2 exons. NCBI's taxonomy places the organism in Eukaryota, Viridiplantae, Streptophyta, Magnoliopsida, Malvales, Malvaceae.